AGAGUUUGAUUAUGGCUCAGAACGAACGCUUGCUGCAUGCUUUAUACAUGCAAGUCGAACGGAGGCCCUAGCUUGCUAGGUGUCCUUAGUGGCGCACGGGUGAGUAACACGUGGGAACAUACCUUAUAGUACGGAAUAACUGCGGGAAACUGUAGCUAAUACCGUAUAUUCCAGCAAUGGGAAAGAUUUAUCGCUAUAAGAUUGGCCCGCGCAAGAUUAGCUUGUUGGUGAGGUAAAAGCUCACCAAGGCUUCGAUCUUUAGCUGGUUUGAGAGGACGAUCAGCCACACUGGGACUGAGACACGGCCCAGACUCCUACGGGAGGCAGCAGUAGGGAAUAUUGGACAAUGGGGGCAACCCUGAUCCAGCAAUGCAGCGUGAGUGACGAAGGCCUUAGGGUUGUAAAACUCUUUCAUCGGUGAGGAUAAUGACAGUAGCCGAAGAAGAAGGACCGGCUAAUUCCGUGCCAGCAGCCGCGGUAAUACGGAAGGUCCUAGCGUUGUUCGGAAUUACUGGGCGUAAAGCGCAUGUAGGCGGAACAGAAAGUUAGAAGUGAAAUCCCUGGGCUCAACCUAGGAAUUGCUUUUAAAACUUCUGUUCUGGAAUUCAGGAGAGGAAAAUGGAAUUUCCAGUGUAGAGGUGAAAUUCGUAGAUAUUGGAAGGAACACCAGUGGCGAAGGCGAUUUUCUGGACUGAUAUUGACGCUGAGAUGCGAAGGCAUGGGUAGCAAACGGGAUUAGAUACCCCGGUAGUCCAUGCAGUAAACGAUGGGUGCUAGUCGUCGGACUUUUGUUCGGUGUCGUAGCUAACGCGUUAAGCACCCCGCCUGGGGAGUACGGUCGCAAGAUUAAAACUCAAAUAAAUUGACGGGGACCCGCACAAGCAGUGGAGCA
This 892-nucleotide ribosomal RNA is filed under the name marine metagenome. Its description in RNAcentral is "bacterial SSU rRNA". It matches the Rfam family "Bacterial small subunit ribosomal RNA", at positions 8 to 939 of the family's 1533-position model. The record is from RNAcentral.